RNAcentral lists this ribosomal RNA (253 nucleotides) under uncultured bacterium. Its description in RNAcentral is "partial 16S ribosomal RNA". It matches the Rfam family "Bacterial small subunit ribosomal RNA", at positions 524 to 776 of the family's 1533-position model. The record is from RNAcentral.
UACAGGGGGUGCAAACGUUGCUCGGAAUCAUUGGGCGUAAAGCGCACGUAGGCGGUCUGUUAUGUCGGAUGUGAAAGCCCUUGGCUCAACUGAGGAAGUGCAUCCGAAACUGGCAGGCUAGAGUACUAAAGAGGGUCGCGGAAUUCCCGGUGUAGAGGUGAAAUUCGUAGAUAUCAGGAAGAACACCCGUGGCGAAGGCGGCUCUCUGGGACGGUACUGACGCUGAGACGCGAAAGCGUGGGGAGCGAACAGG